AUAAAACAAAUACCUGUAAUAAAUUCAAUAAAUUGUGUUCGAAAGACUUCGUAGAAAUAAAAAAAUUUAAAUAAAACUUAAAGAUUUUAUAUGUGAAACAUUUCCAUUUGGUGUUAUUGGACUUUAGUUUUUUUCUUAAUAUCUAUUGUUGACUUUGUUUCUUUAAUUAAAUUUCAACUUAAUUAACAACUUCAUUAUCAACAUCGUCAUCAACCAGUUAUGCUCUUCCUCUUCUUCGUAUAUGUUGAUUUUUUUGACGUUUUUAUAAACAAAAAGAAAAAAUUAAAAAAAAAAUAAUAAAUUAACAAAAAAAAAAUUUGUGGAGGUUUUUAACAAUUUACCAAAUAAAUAAUAAAUAAUUAGUGAAUAUUAAAAUAGCAACAAAAAAAUUAAAACGCAGCAAUAACGAAAACAAAAAAUGCCAACAAAUGAAAAUAUUUUACCGUAUAAAAAAAUAACGAAUAUAAAACGUAAAAUGUAAAACGAAAAUCGAAAAUAUAAAAGCAAAAUUAAACAACAAAAAUGUAAUUUAAGCAGACGGGUCAUUGACGAAAUUCUUUCGAUGGUAGUGUAGUCUAUUUUAUUAUUUGUCGAGUUAUGUAGGGGUAUUUUCUUCUUUAUAUAAAACUACUGGUAUUUAGCUGCUUUCGUGUGUCAAAAACAACAAAAAUUGAAUGAUUUGACAGUCGGUGUUUUUUUUAUUUUGCUGCUGUAUUGUUGUUUUUAAUCUGUGAUAAUUCUUUAGAGAGUUGUAAAGAAUGCAUUUAAAAUAGUGUUGUAAAGUGUUUGCAUUUUUUAUAUAGAUUUAUUCCCUUAUUUACAAACAAAAUUUUUAAUUUUUUAAACGGUUUAUAUAUUAGAUUUUGUACGGAAAUUUUGUUUUAUAAACAUUUUAUAAAAUAAAAAUGUUGUUUGUGAAUAAAGGGGUUAAUAUAAAAUCAUUUGUUUUACCUAAUUUUUUUUUAAUAAUAUUGCUCGAUAACCCAGCAAAAUCUAAGUAAUGGGUUGUAGUUCCAUAACCACUUACUUUUCAAUGACUAUAUACUUGCCUUUUGCAUCUCUAUGAAGUACUUGAGUAAUAACUUUCUUUUAAUCUGAUAUCAAAGUACUUUAUUUUCCGCUUUGUCAUUUUUUUUGCAUAUUUUAUUUAAUUGCGUGUUAUGAAUAAAUGAAGGAAAAUGAGGUGCA
Long non-coding RNA from Lucilia cuprina (Australian sheep blowfly), 1188 nucleotides. RefSeq lists it as uncharacterized. Lineage: Eukaryota; Metazoa; Arthropoda; Insecta; Diptera; Calliphoridae. The transcript is spliced from 2 exons. The record is from RefSeq and is a predicted model, not a curated record.